This 253-nucleotide ribosomal RNA is filed under the name uncultured bacterium. RNAcentral's name for it is "partial 16S ribosomal RNA". It matches the Rfam family "Bacterial small subunit ribosomal RNA", at positions 524 to 776 of the family's 1533-position model. The record is from RNAcentral.
UACGUAGGGUGCGAGCGUUAAUCGGAAUUACUGGGCGUAAAGGGUGCGCAGGCGGUCCUGCAAGUCAGGCGUGAAAUCCCCGGGCUUAACCUGGGAAUGGCACUUGAAACUAUGGGACUGGAGUAUGGCAGAGGGAGGUGGAAUUCCACGUGUAGCGGUGAAAUGCGUAGAGAUGUGGAGGAACACCGAUGGCGAAGGCAGCCUCCUGGGCCAAUACUGACGCUCAUGUGCGAAAGCGUGGGGAGCAAACAGG